AAGGAGGGGGCAAGCGGUGAGAGGAAUGAAGGGGCGUAAAGGGUGGGUAGGUGGCUGAUUAAGUUAAGGAUGAAAUCCCGCGGCUCAACUUCGGAACUGUCCUUGAUACUGGUCAGCUUGAGUCUAGUAAAGGAGAGCGGAAUUCCCGGUGGAGCGGUGAAAUGCGUAGAUAUCGGGAGGAACACCAGAGGCGUAGGCGGUUCUCUAGGCUAGUACUGACACUGAGCCGCGAAAGCUAGGGGAGCAAACAG
This 251-nucleotide ribosomal RNA is filed under the name uncultured prokaryote. RNAcentral's name for it is "partial 16S rRNA". It matches the Rfam family "Bacterial small subunit ribosomal RNA", at positions 525 to 775 of the family's 1533-position model. The record is from RNAcentral.